This 253-nucleotide ribosomal RNA is filed under the name uncultured bacterium. RNAcentral describes it as "partial 16S ribosomal RNA". It matches the Rfam family "Bacterial small subunit ribosomal RNA", at positions 524 to 776 of the family's 1533-position model. The record is from RNAcentral.
UACGAAGGGGGCUAGCGUUGUUCGGAAUUACUGGGCGUAAAGCGCGCGCAGGCGGUUCUCCAAGUCAGUGGUGAAAGCCCGGAGCUCAACUCCGGAACUGCCAUUGAAACUGUUGAACUUGAGGACGAGAGAGGUGAGUGGAAUUCCCAGUGUAGAGGUGAAAUUCGUAGAUAUUGGGAAGAACACCGGUGGCGAAGGCGGCUCACUGGCUCGUAACUGACGCUCAUGCACGACAGCGUGGGGAUCAAACAGG